Molecule: ribosomal RNA, 252 nt
Filed under: uncultured bacterium
Lineage: Bacteria
Description: partial 16S ribosomal RNA
Rfam family: Bacterial small subunit ribosomal RNA
Source: RNAcentral
UACGGAGGGUGCGAGCGUUAAUCGGAAUUACUGGGCGUAAAGGGUGCGUAGGUGGUUAAUUAAGUUAUCUGUGAAAUCCCUGGGCUCAACCUGGGCAGGUCAGAUAAAACUGUUUAACUCGAGUAUGGGAGAGGGUAGUGGAAUUUCCGGUGUAGCGGUGAAAUGCGUAGAGAUCGGAAGGAACACCAGUGGCGAAGGCGGCUACCUGGCCUAAUACUGACACUGAGGCACGAAAGCGUGGGGAGCAAACAG